This 1442-nucleotide long non-coding RNA is filed under the name Rattus norvegicus (Norway rat). Its description in RNAcentral is "long non-coding RNA NONRATT005334". The record is from RNAcentral. Lineage: Eukaryota; Metazoa; Chordata; Mammalia; Rodentia; Muridae.
GUGGCUGACCUGGAGAUGCCGGCCUGGCAGUGCACAAACACCCUUCCUCCAGCAUCCUUGAUGGAGUCUGAAAAACAAAGUUAUGGCUUACUCAAAAACUCAGGAGGACAGCCGAGCCCUGAUCAAAGACGCCCUCAUGCUAUCAUAGGGACUGUGCAUAUGCUGUGCAAAGGAUAGCAAGGGAUUUAAACCCAGAUUGGGUGUCUGCACGUAUAAUCCUGGACAAGACAGUCAGUCCAACUAUUCAAGUCUCAGUGAGGAGGAAGGUUGGGCUCAGCAGCUACAGUAGAGAAGAACGCAGAGAUCCCAGACAUCUAUCCCACUUACCUAUAAAGUCAAUCGCCUCGUUGAACCAGGAGCUAAUGUCUGCCUUGUGGUUGUCCUCCACAGGGAUGCUCUUGUACUGGUAGUGACCCUCAAAGUGGUUAGGACAAUUGGCCGAGACGUUGAUCAAAGCAGUGAUACCCAAGGCGUCGAGCAUAUCUUUCCGGGAAGCAUGGUAAGCACUGCCCAGGUACAGGAAGGACAGGAUCUCCACUGGGCCCCCCUGAAAUCCAAAACAAUCCAGCGUUCAUCAAGCUUGUUCGGCGUGAACACGCCAGGACCCACGCCCACAAAAACUCCCGACUGAAAAAGGGAGUUUCUGAAAAGCGGUGACCUCAGUACUGCUGUUGACAUAUGAAAAUAAUAGUAAAGAAUCGAGCCGGUUGGCCGGGACAGAGCCAACAAGCUCUUCCGUGCCAGCAACUGGGAGAAUUCAGCUCCAUCCAAUUGCUUCAUGGUGAAAUGAAGAUCCUCGUGUCCCCGCUAGUAUAAAUAAAGCUACAGCCGCUUUCUCUAUUCUCCCUGGCACAAGCUUCCCAGAGCUCUGCCAGUUCUGCCACCUCCCAGCCUCUCGUAGACCCCGGACUCCUACUAACCUGGUCGUAGAGAGGGGUGCUACAGGAGCUGCAUCCGGAUUCUGCACUGUCAGGCACACUAGUACUCAGCGGGAGGCUGAGCCCCAUGGGGGUGGACUGUUUGCUGCACAGCUCAGGGCAGGAAGCCGAAAACGCUUCAUAUCCUCCUGAGAAUACAAAGGUACAUAUUUUCCCAUUAACGCCGCCGCCGACGCAGUACCUGGAGACAAGUCACCCACCCACCAGGGGCUGCGAGUUUACAAGGAAGGUUUAGGAAGUCUUUGUUCCCGGAGUCAAACAAAGCCAGUGACAAGCCCCUGGACACAGGCGCUCUCACACUCCAGGUGGGACGCCCCCCUUCCUUAGCUGAUGGCAGAAGUCCUGCGCGUACCUUGGAGGAAGAAGACUUGAGUGGAGCGCGCUUCUCGGCAGAGCGCGCCCGCGGCCAGGGCCAGGGUGCCGUCGCGCUUGGCGCCGUCCAGGGCGGCGCUGCGUUCGUCCAGCAGCACUACGGCGUGAUAGGCUCCGGCCAGCAGGCGGCCG